AUUGAACGCUGGCGGCAGGCCUAACACAUGCAAGUCGAGCGAGCGGCGGACGGGUGAGUAAUGUCUGGGGAACUGCCUGAUGGAGGGGGAUAACUACUGGAAACGGUAGCUAAUACCGCAUACCCUCAGAUGUUCCCAGAUGGGAUUAGCUUGUAGGUGGGGUAAUGGCUCACCUAGGCGACGAUCCCUAGCUGGUCUGAGAGGAUGACCAGCCACACUGGAACUGAGACACGGUCCAGACUCCUACGGGAGGCAGCAGUGGGGAAUAUUGCACAAUGGGCGCAAGCCUGAUGCAGCCAUGCCGCGUGUGUGAAGAAGGCCUUCGGGUUGUAAAGCACUUUCAGCGAGGAGGCGUUACUCGCAGAAGAAGCACCGGCUAACUCCGUGCCAGCAGCCGCGGUAAUUC
This 406-nucleotide ribosomal RNA is filed under the name uncultured bacterium. RNAcentral describes it as "partial 16S ribosomal RNA". It matches the Rfam family "Bacterial small subunit ribosomal RNA", at positions 30 to 526 of the family's 1533-position model. The record is from RNAcentral.